This 265-nucleotide ribosomal RNA is filed under the name uncultured bacterium. RNAcentral describes it as "partial 16S ribosomal RNA". It matches the Rfam family "Bacterial small subunit ribosomal RNA", at positions 88 to 354 of the family's 1533-position model. The record is from RNAcentral.
CCGGCGACCGGCGCACGGGUGAGUAACACGUAUGCAACCUGCCCUCUUCAGGGGGACAACCUUCCGAAAGGGAGGCUAAUCCCGCGUAUAUCGGUUUCGGGCAUCCGAGAUCGAGGAAAGAUUCAUCGGAAGAGGAUGGGCAUGCGGCGCAUUAGCUAGACGGCGGGGUAACGGCCCACCGUGGCGACGAUGCGUAGGGGUUCUGAGAGGAAGGUCCCCCACACUGGUACUGAGACACGGACUAGACUCCUACGGAAGGCAGCAG